RNAcentral lists this transfer-messenger RNA (402 nucleotides) under Candidatus Kaiserbacteria bacterium RIFCSPHIGHO2_02_FULL_50_50. It matches the Rfam family "transfer-messenger RNA". From Rfam's summary of the family: Bacterial tmRNA, also known as 10Sa RNA or SsrA, is named for its dual tRNA and mRNA-like properties. Its role is to liberate the mRNA from a stalled ribosome. Lineage: Bacteria; Candidatus Kaiseribacteriota. The record is from RNAcentral. RNAcentral also lists the same sequence under 2 other names.
GGGGAUGACAGGCUUUGACGGUUAUGGUCCGUGCGAACGGCGCGUGUCGAAGAUGGUGUUGUCCUUCGUAAAAACACACCAACCCUUAAUUGCAAAAGCAAUCAAGAGUCCUUACGCGUCUAACGUGUUUGGAUACGCUUACGCUGCGUAGGUUGAGUUUUUAACUCCCUCGCCCGUUGCGCGUUACGCUUCGUUCGUCAUAUCUCGAAGCAGUGGCGUUAUAUCGAUAUGACUCGGCAGUCGCAGUGCGUUCUCACUUCGACACCUAAAAAAUAGGAACUGCACUUCGCCUUCUCGUUCACUCUCCCGAAAGCGAAGUUAAGCCUUCAGAGUGUCCUACACACGUAGACACCCUCGCACACCAUAAUUCGGACGAGAGUUCAAUUCUCUCCAUCUCCACAA